AAACAUUCUGAUGUGGUGAUCCACACAUUCAGACAAUCAUAUUUUAGAAGUCAGCCUGGCUUAGGGGCAGGGGGCAUGGGAAAGAGUUUCUGGGGAGACCUUUCACCUUGAGGACCUGGGAAUGGUACAGGCUAGCAGGUGUGAAUGAAGACUCCCUUGGAUUAAUUACAAGUGAGGAAGCAGACUCAAGAAGAUUAAUAACUUGCCCAAAGUUGCAGCGGUGGAGAGGCAGCCUAGAGAUCCAGCUGCCAAUCUGCCAGAUCCCAAAGCUCCUCUCCUGCUUGACCUCCAUGUCCACGUGCUGGGACAGUGGGCAGGGAAGGCUGUGUCAGUUUCUGGAUCAGAUCUUGGAGUUUCUAAUUAAUCUAACCAUGAAUCACUAUCUGCCAUGAACUUCAUUGUGUUCUACUUUGAAGAAAGAGACUGACGAUUUCUUGUAAGUGCCAUUAUGCAUUGUCUCCAGGAAAAAGAGGCCUGCAUAGAUGUGUAAGAAGAGAAAAGUCACCAAAGGGUAAGACGUUUGAGAUUGCACUGGGAAACUAAAACACAAACCUUAUACAUGAUUGCCAUAUAAAUCAUCUGACUU
This 586-nucleotide long non-coding RNA is filed under the name Vulpes vulpes (red fox). RNAcentral's name for it is "lncRNA (ENSVVUG00000010334.1)". The record is from RNAcentral. Lineage: Eukaryota; Metazoa; Chordata; Mammalia; Carnivora; Canidae.